Molecule: long non-coding RNA, 2429 nt
Organism: Marmota monax (woodchuck)
Lineage: Eukaryota; Metazoa; Chordata; Mammalia; Rodentia; Sciuridae
Exons: 7
Source: RefSeq, a predicted model, not a curated record
CGGGGAGGUGGGACUGUCCCACACAGGUGUGGCUGCCAGGGCCCCGCCCCAGUGGAUGGGAGGGGGGAGGGGUCUGGAGGAGAGGGGCUGGCUCCUGGGCCCGGCUGACCCCUGCAACCGGUUAUUACAAUUUGGAUAAUGCUGCUGUGAGCCAGUGUGUAGAGGUGACCUUUUAAAAUUUGUUCUUAUAGUAGGUUCUUCAAGGUAGACUUAAUGGGUCUCAGAGUUGGACCAGUUUCAUGAUUUAUUCCUCUGACAGUGUGUUGAUUGUUGUUUCUUAGUUAAGACUCAGUUGUAAGCAAUGAAAAGUGUGAUUGACAGUGGCUAGGACCUGCUGAGGACACAAGAGGACACAGGGCGUUGGGAGACACCGGUCUGGCAACUCCCAAGGAGCUCUUCCUUAUCGCCACGAUAUGCUUUUUUUACAUCAUCGCCUCCUCUACCCUCAAUCCAGAAUUUGAAUCUACCUUUGAAUUCCUUAAUUCAUGCCUUUGGGAACUGCACAGGAGUCAGUGCAAGAUGGCAGAGGGUGGAGGAAGGACUAAAUUUCCCCGUUGAUACAGAGUAAAAGAAGUAUUUAUCAAGUGAGAAUGUAAAACUGAAGACAUUUAUGGUGUUUGGAAAGCAGUCCCAGUCUGAGGAUGCUAAGGAACACUGUCACCUUCCCCACGUAGCAGCUGCAUUAGGCCAGGCCAAAGAAGAGGAACAAUGAGAACCUCCUAAGAACUCUCAUCCUUCCACCCUGGCUCUCCCUGCUCCACUUAGAACAUAAAUCCUGACCCUUAUUCAUUUAGCUGCUUCUCCACAAUACUCCACUCCAGCUGCCUGAAGGCAGAGGUUUGGACAGUGCCAGCAAAGACGGGGGACAGAGGUCCGUUUGGAAUGGAGCCGUGGGCCUGACCUAUUGGCCCCGCUGCUUUGGGCCUGUGGCGAGGCAGUAGGUCAUGGUGGGAGCACUUGGCCGAGUGGAACUGUUCAUCUCACGCCCAGGAGGCAAAAGCAGAUACGGUGGCCAAUGACAUGUGGACAGAAUUGUUUCACUGGGUUGGAAGAAAAUCUCCCUCGAAGCAGCUGACCUCGUUGGGAGGCUCCUCCUUGGGCUCCUCCUUCCCCUUCCUGUGAAUAUCAUGCUGGAGUGACAACUACCACUUGGAUCAUGCGGUGACCCUGAGGACAGAAGCCCUAUGCUAAUGCAAGUGGGGGAUGAUUAGAAGGAUCCUAGGUCCUAGACGACCACAGAACUACCUUGUGAUCAGCUCACCUUAGUACUUUUUCAUGUUUGAGAAAUGUUACUUCAAAAAACUUUAUUUUUUGUCUCUAGGAUGGGAGGCUGAAUUUAAUUCCUAAUUGAGACAUAUGAUAAAUGCUAGUCAAGGGCUGGGGCCGUGGCUCAGUGGUAGAGUGCUCGCCUAGCAUGCGUGAGCACUUGGAUCCUCAGCACCACAUAAAAAUAAAAUUUAAAAAAAGAUAUUGUGCCCACCUAUAACUAAAAAAUAAAUAAAAAUAAAAAAUAAAUGCUAGUCAAGAUGAUUGUUCUCUCUUGGCAUCUUUUCUCUUGGGGACUGUCUGCUCUUGGGGUCCAGCCAUCUCCAGGCUGAUGUGUCCCACCAGUUAGUUCUGGUUAAAAUAAGAAGGAAACACGCUGCGCGGUAGAUUCUAGGGGUAUGUUGAAGCCAUAACUGAUAAGGCUUUUCUUUAGUUGGGGACUAUAGAAGGAAUCUUCUUGCCCAAUAUUUGUCAGUAGGCUGGCUGGUCUCUGUGACCUGAGAGAAUGUGUCCUACUCAAGGACAUCUCCACCUUAACUACAUGCCAUGAAUCUGCCACUCAGCCUUGCUCUGUUAUGAUGCUGAGUUGUAGAAGAUGAAGUUAGAAUGAAAAGCACAAAGAAAAGUUAGUGGUUAGGAAAAAGAGAAGCUUUCAUCUCUAAGAUUUGGUUGUUAUUUUUAUUUAAUUUUAUUUUUUGAUAUUGGAGAUUGAACCCAGGGGUGCUUAACCACUGAGUCACAUCCUCAGCCCUUUGUAAUAUUUUAUUUAGGGAUAGGGUCUCGCUGAGUUGCUUAGGGCCUCACUAAGUUGCUGAAGCUGGCUUUCAAUUUGUAAUCCUCCUACCUUGGCCUCCAGAGCCGCUGGGAUUAUAGGUGUGCGCCACCACACCCGGCUGAUUUUGUCAUUCUUACUGAAAAUAUUUUUUAAAACCACAUUCCUAUAAACAAUUACAAUUUCAAUCUUCCAUUUAAUAAAAUGUUUUGUAAGGAAAAUAAAGAGAAGAAGAAGAAUAUCUAGAAAUGCAGGAAAUUCACUUAAUUUUUAGGCUAGAAAAUUUUGUAUGAAGCAAGUUCAAUUCUAUACAAAUUUUUUGAAUUGGUAUUGUUUCGUUUACUUAAAAAGGGAUAUGGAUCAAAACAGUGCAAUUAUAAAUGUAUCAAUU